This 400-nucleotide ribosomal RNA is filed under the name uncultured bacterium. RNAcentral's name for it is "bacterial SSU rRNA". It matches the Rfam family "Bacterial small subunit ribosomal RNA", at positions 355 to 772 of the family's 1533-position model. The record is from RNAcentral.
UGGGGAAUAUUGGACAAUGGGGGCAACCCUGAUCCAGCCAUGCCGCGUGAGUGAUGAAGGCCUUCGGGUUGUAAAGCUCUUUUGGCGGGGACGAUGAUGACGGUACCCGCAGAAUAAGCCCCGGCUAACUUCGUGCCAGCAGCCGCGGUAAUACGUAGGUGGCAAGCGUUGUCCGGAUUUAUUGGGUUUAAAGGGUGCGUAGGCGGCCUAUUAAGUCAGUUCUGAAAUAUCCCGGCUUAACCGGGAGGGUGGGAUUGAUACUGAUGGGCUUGAGUGGAAUCGAGGUAGGCGGAAUUGACGGUGUAGCGGUGAAAUGCUUAGAUAUCGUCAAGAACACCGAUAGUGUAGACAGCUUACUAGACUUCAACUGACGCUGAGGCACGAAAGUGUGGGGAUCAAA